RNAcentral lists this ribosomal RNA (466 nucleotides) under uncultured bacterium. RNAcentral describes it as "partial 16S ribosomal RNA". It matches the Rfam family "Bacterial small subunit ribosomal RNA", at positions 28 to 507 of the family's 1533-position model. The record is from RNAcentral.
GACGAACGCUGGCGGCGUGCUUAACACAUGCAAGUCGAACGGUAAGGCUCCAGCUUGCUGGGGUACACGAGUGGCGAACGGGUGAGUAACACGUGGGUGACCUGCCCUGCACUUCGGGAUAAGCCUGGGAAACUGGGUCUAAUACCGGAUAGGACCAUGGUGUGGAUACUGUGGUGGAAAGUUUUUUCGGUGUGGGAUGGGCCCGCGGCCUAUCAGCUUGUUGGUGGGGUAAUGGCCUACCAAGGCGGCGACGGGUAGCCGGCCUGAGAGGGUGGACGGCCACAUUGGGACUGAGACACGGCCCAGACUCCUACGGGAGGCAGCAGUGGGGAAUAUUGCACAAUGGGCGUAAGCCUGAUGCAGCGACGCCGCGUGGGGGAUGACGGCCUUCGGGUUGUAAACUCCUUUCACCAUCGACGAAGGGUUUCUGACGGUAGAUGGAGAAGAAGCACCGGCUAACUACGUG